UUCUCUCCCAAGUAAAGAAGAAGCAAUACAACCUGUCCCUAGCCUCACUAAGGUCCCAGGUAAAGAAGGGCAGGGCAGGGCAAGGCAUACUAAAGGGUGGGAGUUUGAAGCCUACUACUCUAGGAAGAGCAGAAGCAGCUUCAGGAGACCCUGGACUCUGUUGACUUUGCCCGUGGACUUUGAUUUGUACUCUGUUGGAUUGAUUGGAUUUGACUCGGACUGAACCUGGUUUGGAGAAUUUCUUCCUGUAAGACUUUGCUAUUAUACUUCUGCCUCUGCCUGUUUUACGCUCCGUCUGGCUAGCCUGACAGAUUUAUGACAGCCCGGUGGAGAAGAGAAGGACCCUUGGGCAAGAUGUCCUCAAUGGACCUCCCUGGAAUUGGCAUAUCUCCUCACCACUAUCACCUCUGCACAUUAGAUAUCCCUCUCCCACUAGACCCGUUUGCAGCACUGCUCAGAGGGAGAGGGCAAGGUGCGUGGAAGUUCCUUCUCGUUACUGACUUGGAGGGGGCAGGUAAAUACAUUGACAGCAGGACUGCUGCUUGCAUUUGUGGGUGAGGCAGUGGGCCUCUUUCUGAGAUU
Hemicordylus capensis (graceful crag lizard) is the source of this 582-nucleotide long non-coding RNA. RefSeq lists it as uncharacterized. The transcript is spliced from 3 exons. NCBI's taxonomy places the organism in Eukaryota, Metazoa, Chordata, Lepidosauria, Squamata, Cordylidae. The record is from RefSeq and is a predicted model, not a curated record.